ACUAUAGAUCACGGGUAAGAUUUGGGCUUGCUAAUAACCACCAUAAUCCAUGUCCAUGACCUUAACUUAGUUCUGGGUUUUUUCAGUUCCGGUUCGGUUCAGAAGGACACACCAAUAAAGGAUUUCAAUUCUAACAUAUUCUCUUUUGAUGCAAUCUUAGGUUUUUUCUCUUCUUCUCUCGAAAACAAAGAAAUUUUACUUGGUUAGGGUUUUCAUUUGAGUUGAUCGAAAAUGUCAGGUGCAGCAAGUAUUGUCAAGGCAGUUAAACCAAAACGCUUUCAAGCUGCUGAUAUUCAGACAGCCGCUGGCUGGGGCAUGGUUGCUUUUACUGGAGCUCUUUGGGUUGUCCAGCCAUUUGGGUGGAUAAAGAAGACAUCUAUUGACAAGCCAGAGGAAGCUCAAUGAUUUGAUGAAGGACUCGGCAAAACAGUUUCUGGUCAAUGUAGCUGCUCUUUGUUCUUUUUUCCUGGAAACCCGAUAAAUAGAGAUUUCCCCCUAAUAAUGCAAUGCAACUUGAUUGUUUUUCUUAUUAACUUAUUGGUUGUACUUGGAGGAUUUUGGUGACAACUCUCUAAGAUCAAUAGAGGCUGUCUGGAUAUGUGUUGUUACAAAAUUUGAUUUAUUUUUGUUUCCAUUUAGUGACUUUUGAAUCACUUUGUCUUCAAAUAAUUAUGGCUGUGUCUUCACUUUGUUACAAAA
Papaver somniferum (opium poppy) is the source of this 699-nucleotide long non-coding RNA. RefSeq lists it as uncharacterized. The transcript has 2 exons. The record is from RefSeq and is a predicted model, not a curated record. NCBI's taxonomy places the organism in Eukaryota, Viridiplantae, Streptophyta, Magnoliopsida, Ranunculales, Papaveraceae.